This 253-nucleotide ribosomal RNA is filed under the name uncultured bacterium. RNAcentral's name for it is "partial 16S ribosomal RNA". It matches the Rfam family "Bacterial small subunit ribosomal RNA", at positions 524 to 776 of the family's 1533-position model. The record is from RNAcentral.
UACGGGGGGGGCAAGCGUUGUUCGGAAUUACUGGGCGUAAAGGGCUCGUAGGUGGCCAACUAAGUCAGACGUGAAAUCCCCAGGCUCAACCUGGGAACUGCGUCCGAUACUGGAUGGCUUGAAUCCGGGAGAGGGAUGCAGAAUUCCAGGUGUAGCGGUGAAAUGCGUAGAUAUCUGGAGGAAUACCGGUGGCGAAGGCGGCAUCCUGGACCGGCAUUGACGCUGAGGAGCGAAAGCCAGGGGAGCAAACGGG